This 72-nucleotide microRNA precursor is filed under the name Podarcis lilfordi (Lilford's wall lizard). The record is from RNAcentral. Lineage: Eukaryota; Metazoa; Chordata; Lepidosauria; Squamata; Lacertidae.
AACUAAGUUUGUUCUGGGUAUAAGCUUUUGUGUGCAUGCACACAAAAGCUUAUACCCAGAAGAAACUUAGUU